Molecule: long non-coding RNA, 336 nt
Organism: Leopardus geoffroyi (Geoffroy's cat)
Lineage: Eukaryota; Metazoa; Chordata; Mammalia; Carnivora; Felidae
Exons: 3
Source: RefSeq, a predicted model, not a curated record
GGCGUCGGCGUUGGCUUCGGCGUCUUCCGGCCGCGCCUCGAAUCCCGUCAGGCGCGGGAAGGGCGCAGAGCCUCGUGGGCUUCGAGGGGCUCUGCGAGCUCUGCAGUUGAGGCCUUGGUCUGAGGCAGGAGUCCUGAGGUCACAGAGCAGAGGAGGCGCGGCCGCGUGCCAGUCGGUUGUCCAGGCGAGGGUCUGGCGACCAUCAUGUCCCUGGGUGAGAGGAGUGUGUUCUGCAAGCUUAAGGAGGAGCCAAGAGAGGUCCCGCUGCCAUGGGAUGCACUGCUGCCAGAGCCUGAGGACAGGGAGGUGGAGGAGGUGGAGUUGGAGGAGGAGGAG